CGCGUAGGGCGCAAGCGUUGUCCGGAAUUAUUGGGCGUAAAGAGCUCGUAGGCGGUCUGUUGCGUCCGCUGUGAAAACUCGGGGCUUAACCCCGAGCCUGCAGUGGAUACGGGCAGACUAGAGGUAGGUAGGGGAGAAUGGAAUUCCCGGUGUAGCGGUGAAAUGCGCAGAUAUCUGGAGGAACACCGGUGGCGAAGGCGGCAUCCUGGACCAACACUGACGCUGAGGAGCGAAAGCCAGGGGAGCAAACGGG
This 253-nucleotide ribosomal RNA is filed under the name uncultured bacterium. RNAcentral describes it as "partial 16S ribosomal RNA". It matches the Rfam family "Bacterial small subunit ribosomal RNA", at positions 524 to 776 of the family's 1533-position model. The record is from RNAcentral.